Molecule: transfer RNA, 72 nt
Filed under: Bos taurus (domestic cattle)
Lineage: Eukaryota; Metazoa; Chordata; Mammalia; Artiodactyla; Bovidae
Also listed under: 7 other names
Rfam family: tRNA
About the family: Transfer RNA (tRNA) molecules are approximately 80 nucleotides in length.
Source: Rfam by way of RNAcentral
UCCCUGAUAGCUCAGUUGGUAAAGAAUCUGCCUGCAAUGCAGGAGAUCCUGGUUUGAUUCCUGGGUUGGGAA